UGUGCGCGAGUCACUGGGAUCAUGUCUAAACCCAGAGGCGCAGUGAAAGCGUGGGGCUCGCACGGCUUAAAGCCGCGUCGAGCCGCUAAGGGAGGACGGCCGGUCGUUCCCGAACGGUGCGGCCGGCCAGCACUCCCGGGGCGCCUCGGCUCCGGCCGCAGGCGCACCCGGAGCGCACACGUUGGGACCCGAAAGAUGGUGAACUAUGCCCGGCCAGGACGAAGUCAGGGGAAACCCUGAUGGAGGUCCGCAGCGAUUCUGACGUGCAAAUCGAUCGUCAGAGCUAGGUAUAGGGGCGAAAGACUAAUCGAACCAUCUAGUAGCU
This 325-nucleotide ribosomal RNA is filed under the name Silvestritermes holmgreni. RNAcentral's name for it is "eukaryotic LSU rRNA". It matches the Rfam family "Eukaryotic large subunit ribosomal RNA", at positions 681 to 952 of the family's 3401-position model. The record is from RNAcentral. Lineage: Eukaryota; Metazoa; Arthropoda; Insecta; Blattodea; Termitidae.